CUAGACUCCUACGGGAGGCAGCAGUCGGGAAUAUUGCGCAAUGGAGGAAACUCUGACGCAGUGACGCCGCGUAUAGGAAGAAGGUUUUCGGAUUGUAAACUAUUGUCCACAGGGAAGAAAAAAGACUGUACCUGACCAAGAAGCCCCGGCUAACUACGUGCCAGCAGCCGCGGUAAUACGUAGGGGGCAAGCGUUAUCCGGAUUCACUGGGCGUAAAGGGAGCGCAGGCGGCACGGCAAGUCUGAUGUGAAAACCCGGGGCGCAACCCCGGGACUGCAUUGGAAACUGCCGGGCUGGAGUGUCGGAGGGGUAAGCGGAAUUCCUGGUGUAGCGGUGAAAUGCGUAGAUAUCAGGAGGAACACCGGUGGCGAAGGCGGCUUACUGGACGACAACUGACGCUGAGGCUCGAAAGCGUGGGGAGCAAACAGGAUUAGAUACCCGAGUAAA
This 447-nucleotide ribosomal RNA is filed under the name uncultured bacterium. RNAcentral describes it as "partial 16S ribosomal RNA". It matches the Rfam family "Bacterial small subunit ribosomal RNA", at positions 331 to 794 of the family's 1533-position model. The record is from RNAcentral.